AGUGAACGCUGGCGGUAGGCCUAACACAUGCAAGUCGAACGGCAGCACAGGAGAGCUUGCUCUCUGGGUGGCGAGUGGCGGACGGGUGAGGAAUACAUCGGACUCUACUUUUUCGUGGGGGAUAACGUAGGGAAACUUACGCUAAUACCGCAUACGACCUACGGGUGAACGCAGGGGACCUUCGGCCCUUGCGCGAUUGAAUGAGCCGAUGUCGGAUUAGCUAGUUGGUGGGGUAGAGGCCCACCAAGGCGACGAUCCGUAGCUGGUCUGAGAGGAUGAUCAGCCACACUGGAACUGAGACACGGUCCAGACUCCUACGGGAGGCAGCAGUGGGGAAUAUUGGACAAUGGGCGCAAGCCUGAUCCAGCCAUACCGCGUGGGUGAAGAAGGCCUUCGGGUUGUAAAGCCCUUUUGUUGGGAAAGAAAUCCAGCUGGCUAAUACCCGGUUGGGAUGACGGUACCCAAAGAAUAAGCACCGGCUAACUUCGUGCCAGCCGCCGCGGUAA
This 506-nucleotide ribosomal RNA is filed under the name uncultured bacterium. RNAcentral describes it as "partial 16S ribosomal RNA". It matches the Rfam family "Bacterial small subunit ribosomal RNA", at positions 29 to 523 of the family's 1533-position model. The record is from RNAcentral.